AAAUGAUUCUUAUCUCUUUUUGGAGAGAUGGCCGAGAGGAUUAAAGCGUCGGAUUGCUAAUCCGUCGUACAAUUUAUAUGUACAG
This 85-nucleotide transfer RNA is filed under the name Angiopteris hypoleuca. RNAcentral describes it as "partial tRNA-Ser". Lineage: Eukaryota; Viridiplantae; Streptophyta; Polypodiopsida; Marattiales; Marattiaceae. The record is from RNAcentral.